RNAcentral lists this transfer RNA (67 nucleotides) under Magallana bilineata (tropical oyster). Its description in RNAcentral is "tRNA-His". It matches the Rfam family "tRNA". From Rfam's summary of the family: Transfer RNA (tRNA) molecules are approximately 80 nucleotides in length. Their secondary structure includes four short double-helical elements and three loops (D, anti-codon, and T loops). Lineage: Eukaryota; Metazoa; Mollusca; Bivalvia; Ostreida; Ostreidae. The record is from RNAcentral. RNAcentral also lists the same sequence under 1 other name.
GCCUAGGUAGCUUAAUAAAGCGUCAGCUUGUGGCGUUGAAGAUGUCUUAAAAUUUAGACUCUGGGCA